Dicentrarchus labrax (European seabass) is the source of this 266-nucleotide long non-coding RNA. RefSeq lists it as uncharacterized. The transcript is spliced from 2 exons. Lineage: Eukaryota; Metazoa; Chordata; Actinopteri; Moronidae. The record is from RefSeq and is a predicted model, not a curated record.
GUUAAUGACAGACAGUCAGUGAGUGUGUCUGUGUCCAACUCUUCCUCACAGGUUAGUUAAUGACAGACAGUCAGUGAGUGUGUCUGUGUCCAACUCUUCCUCACAGGUUAGUUAAUGACAGACAGUCAGUGAGUGUGUCUGUGUCCAACUCUUCCUCACAGGUUAGUUAAUGAUGUUACUGAGUCAAUGUGAGCAGAUUGUGUCUGUAGACUGAAGAGAAUCAGAGUCUCACUGAUGGUGGAAAUAAAGGUUUUACUUCCUUAAAA